Molecule: long non-coding RNA, 285 nt
Organism: Carassius carassius (crucian carp)
Lineage: Eukaryota; Metazoa; Chordata; Actinopteri; Cypriniformes; Cyprinidae
Exons: 2
Source: RefSeq, a predicted model, not a curated record
GCAAGAUCUGUUUCACGUCAAAGUCUUUCCUGGGAUUCGACAUUCCCGAAACUCCGGUAACGGGAGACGCGGGGACGGAACGACGAGCCUCGUGAUCCGCGAUUGUCUUGGUAAUGUGGGAACUACGCAUAUCCAGAUGCAGUCAAGCUGUCAUGCUACAGAUCAAGAAUAAAUAUCAGGAGAGCAUGAUACUGUAUAUAACUACUGGUGUAAACACUGUUUAAUUGUAAAUCUGUUUAUAAAUGGACACUCUUUCAUUAGUAAUUAAAAAUCUAUAAUGAGGUC